Molecule: ribosomal RNA, 253 nt
Filed under: uncultured bacterium
Lineage: Bacteria
Description: partial 16S ribosomal RNA
Rfam family: Bacterial small subunit ribosomal RNA
Source: RNAcentral
UACAGAGGUGGCAAGCGUUGUUCGGAAUUACUGGGCGUAAAGGGCGCGUAGGCGGCCUUCUAAGUCAGACGUGAAAUCCCCCGGCUUAACCUGGGAACUGCGUCUGAUACUGGGAGGCUUGAGUAUGGGAGAGGGAUGUAGAAUUCCAGGUGUAGCGGUGAAAUGCGUAGAUAUCUGGAGGAAUACCGGUGGCGAAGGCGGCAUCCUGGACCAUUACUGACGCUGAUGCGCGAAAGCCAGGGGAGCAAACGGG